UCCUUAGAUGUCCUGGGCCGCACGCGCGCUACACUGACAUGUUCAACAAGUUUCUCCUAGUUCGACAGGACUGGGAAAUCUUUGAACGCAUGUCGUGAUAGGGAUAGAUCAUUGCAAUUAUUGAUCUUGAACGAGGAAUUCCUAGUAAACGCGAGUCAUCAGCUCGCAUUGAUUACGUCCCUGCCCUUUGUACACACCGCCCGUCGCACCUACCGAUUGAAUGUUUCGGUGAAGAUUCCGGAUAGGACUGAUUUGAUUUAUUUCAUUUCUGACCUAAAAGCUAUCUAAACCUCAACAUUUAGAGGAAGGUGAAGUCGUAACA
Molecule: ribosomal RNA, 322 nt
Filed under: uncultured eukaryote
Lineage: Eukaryota
Description: partial 18S ribosomal RNA
Rfam family: Eukaryotic small subunit ribosomal RNA
Source: RNAcentral